Molecule: ribosomal RNA, 700 nt
Filed under: Agromyces sp.
Lineage: Bacteria; Bacillati; Actinomycetota; Actinomycetes; Micrococcales; Microbacteriaceae
Description: bacterial SSU rRNA
Rfam family: Bacterial small subunit ribosomal RNA
Source: RNAcentral
ACAUGCAGUCGAACGAUGAACUCCAGCUUGCUGGGGGGAUUAGUGGCGAACGGGUGAGUAACACGUGAGUAACCUGCCCUGGACUCUGGGAUAACCCCGAGAAAUCGGAGCUAAUACCGGAUAGGACCUUUCCCUGCAUGGGGUUUGGUGGAAAGUUUUUCGGUUUGGGAUGGACUCGCGGCCUAUCAGCUUGUUGGUGAGGUAAUGGCUCACCAAGGCGUCGACGGGUAGCCGGCCUGAGAGGGUGACCGGCCACACUGGGACUGAGACACGGCCCAGACUCCUACGGGAGGCAGCAGUGGGGAAUAUUGCACAAUGGGCGCAAGCCUGAUGCAGCAACGCCGCGUGCGGGAUGACGGCCUUCGGGUUGUAAACCGCUUUUAGUAAGGAAGAAGGGGAGCUUGCUCCUUGACGGUACUUGCAGAAAAAGGACCGGCUAACUACGUGCCAGCAGCCGCGGUAAUACGUAGGGUCCGAGCGUUGUCCGGAAUUAUUGGGCGUAAAGAGCUCGUAGGCGGUUUGUCGCGUCUGCUGUGAAAUCCCGAGGCUCAACCUCGGGCCUGCAGUGGGUACGGGCAGACUUGAGUGGUGUAGGGGAGACUGGAAUUCCUGGUGUAGCGGUGGAAUGCGCAGAUAUCAGGAGGAACACCGAUGGCGAAGGCAGGUCUCUGGGCACUUACUGACGCUGAGGAGCGAAAGC